UACGUAGGGUGCGAGCGUUAAUCGGAAUUACUGGGCGUAAAGCGUGCGCAGGCGGUCUGUUAAGACAGAUGUGAAAUCCCCGGGCUUAACCUGGGAACUGCAUUUGUGACUGGCAGGCUAGAGUAUGGCAGAGGGGGGUAGAAUUCCACGUGUAGCAGUGAAAUGCGUAGAGAUGUGGAGGAAUACCGAUGGCGAAGGCAGCCCCCUGGGCCAAUACUGACGCUCAUGCACGAAAGCGUGGGGAGCAAACAGG
This 253-nucleotide ribosomal RNA is filed under the name uncultured bacterium. RNAcentral describes it as "partial 16S ribosomal RNA". It matches the Rfam family "Bacterial small subunit ribosomal RNA", at positions 524 to 776 of the family's 1533-position model. The record is from RNAcentral. RNAcentral also lists the same sequence under 1 other name.